Long non-coding RNA from Pangasianodon hypophthalmus (striped catfish), 3211 nucleotides. RefSeq lists it as uncharacterized. NCBI's taxonomy places the organism in Eukaryota, Metazoa, Chordata, Actinopteri, Siluriformes, Pangasiidae. The record is from RefSeq and is a predicted model, not a curated record. The transcript is spliced from 3 exons.
AGCUAAGAUAAGCAAAAAAAAAACAAAAACAUGGUUAACAGUAAACCCACACUAAGUUUGUUGAUGAGAAGAAAACCUAAAAAGGAAAGAGAAGCCAGAGAAUGUUCAUUUUCCCAAAUGAUAAGAUUAUAAAUUAACUCUGAACUGAUUCGGGUUAAAGAAGACUCAGCAUGCAGUCACUGCAGGCCGUAUAGUCGGAGCUUAUUAAAAAGUCGGAUGCUUUUUGGUGGAUGAAUUUGUGAGGGGAAAAGCAAGAAAAGCCAAUCACCUAAGGGUGUUCAGGGCUUCACACACUGGUUCAUGCAUGGUGGGUAUGGAGGUGGGUCAUGUGUUAGUUUCUCUCCAGGGAUCCAGGACUUACUAAUCCAUCUCUUCCUUUUGGUUUCAGAUCUACAGCCAGUUACUCCCUCUAUGGACUCGAGAAAAUGAUGAAUGGAAAAGAAACUACAGGAAUUGACAGCAAAUAUAUUUUCCAAAUGAGACACUCUUGUUUACUGAAAGAUCACAAUAAACCUUUUAACCUCACUUACUGAGUACUUUUCACAGCUUUAUUGCCUGUCCUUGGGCAUAACGGAUCUGAACAUACACAGCACUGUGUGAUUCUACACUGCAUAAACACGAAGCAUUGUUGCACGUGUACAUCACAUAAAUAGUUAUCUUCAGAUAUUUCAUGUGCAUAUUUUUAAUUCCCACACAUUUUAUUGCCUUUUAAUCCAUCUUUUUUUUAUUAGUACCCAUUGUUUAUUUUUGUAUCUCCACUUUUCCAAGGUUCUGCUGCUGACAGGUUGCAUUCUGCUCUUCAAUGAGAAACAGAGUUGAGGUCCAAGUUAGAAUCCAAGUUCAAGGAAGUCCAAGGAAGAACCCCAUACUCCAAGACUGACAUGAAAAAGCCAGACUGAAGCUCGCAGGUGAUCACCAGCCUUUUGGAGGAGUGGUCUCUGGUCAUAUAAAACAAAAUUGACCUGUUUGACCAUAAUGAUCAGCGCUAUGUAUGGAGAAAAAAAAUGGGUAAUCUGCAGAACACCAUUCCAGCUGUGAGUCAUGGGGAUGGCAGCAUCAUGUUGUGAGGGUGUUUUCCUGGAAAAGAUACUGGUUCACUUGAGAAAAUAGAUGGCAUCAUGAGGAAGGAGGAUUAUCUAGAAAUACUGAAGCAACACAUCAAGACAUCAGCCAGAAGGUUGGGUUGGAAUUGGGACUUCCAGCAGGACAACUAUCCUAAGCAAACCUCCAAAAUAUUGGAGUGGCCAUCACAAAGCCCUGACAUGAAUCCCAUAGAAAACUGAAACAGCAUGUAUUUACAAGGAGGCCCACAAACCUGAUUGACUUGCACCAGUUCAGGAGGAAGGGGCAAAAAUUCCACCAAAGGAUUGUGAGAAGCUUGUGGAAGCCUGGGGUCAAGUUCAAGCAAAGUGUAUGUAAACUCUUAAGCCACUGAAAAUCUGAUAUAUUAAAUAAAAGCUGAAAUAAAUCUGUCUCUUAGGUACAAUUUUAAAAUGACCUCAUAUGGUCAUAUUCCUCUUUUAUUUAUACUUUCCUAAGGAAUACUUUCUCGCAGUCAGGCACUCCAGCAGAAGACUGGAAUUUAUUUAUUUAUUUGUGAAUCCAUGUGAAUGAACUUUCUCACUACUAUCAUUAAGUGUUUUUUAUUUUAUUUUUAAAGAUGAUACACUAAUUGACUUAACAUAGGAAAUGUAACAUGGUAACAUGAAAUGUGUGGAAUUUAGUUUGAAUGACUUUAGCCUAGGUGUGUAUGUAAACUUUUGGUACCGUAAACCGUAUGGUGUUGUUUGAUAUUGUUUCUCAGCCAAGCACCUGCUUUGAGUCCUCCACAGACAUGAGAGUAAAAGACCUGUUGUCAUUGAGGUAUGUUUUCUUUAAUGAUUCCUUAAACUACUGUGGGACCGAACAAUGUUUUUUAAAAUCAGCACGGCAAUUAAGUAUUGAAGAGCCUUUUGAUUUGUUUGUCUUGAAUACUGUGCUCAGCUCCUUGUCUGAAACUGUGAACGAGAGAGAAAUGGCGUUGCUCUUUUACAAGCAAACACAGAUUUGGUACAUCUAGAUGGUCAUCUGUAGGUGUAUAUGAAUUUGACUAUUUUUUAUUUGUUGUUAUUUCUCACAGACCUUUAGCAGCUAAUCUAACAUCACAGAGAGCAAAUGUCUUUAACAUUCUAGAGGUGUAAUUAGUUUGAUAAGAGUCAUUUUCCCCGAUAAUGGAUUCUGAGAAUUUUCUCCUGAAUAGUGAAUAUAAUUCCUUUCUUGGGCCCACUGUGAAUUUCAGGAUAAGUGAAAUAUGUUCUUUUGGCACAUGUUCUAUUGUAUCAUCUAUAAUUGUAGUCCUUGACUUUCCCACCAAGUCGAUCUUUCAACCAAUGUGUCUCGCUGUUCUUUGUCCUCCCACAAAACCCCUUGACCUCAUACUAUAUACUAAUAACUCUGCACAUUAUUAAUCCUGACAAGCUGAAUGUAAGCUUUGGCAGGUUGGCAUAUUUUCCUAAUUCAUUAAAACAUUUUGGAUGGCAUUCAAAUAACAUAAUUCAAGUGGGACAACAGUGUUUAGGGAAUAAGUAGAGUUAACGCCAAUCAAAAAAAUUCCCUCUUUUAUUUAUACUUUCCUAAGGAAUACUUUCUCGCAGUCAGGCACUCCAGCAGAAGACUGGAAUUUAUUUAUUUAUUUGUGAAUCCAUGUGAAUGAACUUUCUCACUACUAUCAUUAAGUGUUUUUUAUUUUAUACUAUAUUAGUCUACACUAAAAGCCAAGAACAAGAAUCUGAGGCUAUCAUGGGCAUAGACUCACUGAAACUGUCUGAAAAAAUACCAGACUGAAUGUAGGGAACUAGAGGGCAUCACUCUGUAUAAUCAUCUAACAUGACUGUCACUCUCUAUAUUCCAUCAGCUCUAUAUUCCAUCAGCUCUAUAUUUCAUCAUCUCUAUAUUCUCUUUCCUCUAUAUUCUCUUUCCUCUAUAUUUCAUCAGCUCUAUAUUCCAUUAUUUCUAUAUUCCAUCAUAUUUCAUCAGCUCUAUAUUCCAUCCGCUGUAUAUUCCUAUAGCUCUAUAUUCCAUCAUAUUUCAUCAUCUCUAUAUUCUCUUAGCUCUAUAUUCAAUUAUUUCUAUAUUCCAUCAUAUUUCAUCAUCUCUAUAUUCUCUUAGCUCUAUAUUCCAUCAGCUCUAUAUUCUCUUAGCUCUAUAUUCCAUCAGCUCUAUAUUCCAUCAU